RNAcentral lists this ribosomal RNA (466 nucleotides) under uncultured bacterium. RNAcentral's name for it is "partial 16S ribosomal RNA". It matches the Rfam family "Bacterial small subunit ribosomal RNA", at positions 28 to 507 of the family's 1533-position model. The record is from RNAcentral.
GACGAACGCUGGCGGCGUGCUUAACACAUGCAAGUCGAACGGAAAGGCCUCUUUCGGGGGGUACUCGAGUGGCGAACGGGUGAGUAACACGUGAGUAACCUGCCCUUGACUUUGGGAUAACUUCAGGAAACUGGGGCUAAUACCGGAUAGGAGCUCCUGCUGCAUGGUGGGGGUUGGAAAGUUUCGGCGGUUGGGGAUGGACUCGCGGCUUAUCAGCUUGUUGGUGGGGUAGUGGCUUACCAAGGCUUUGACGGGUAGCCGGCCUGAGAGGGUGACCGGCCACAUUGGGACUGAGAUACGGCCCAGACUCCUACGGGAGGCAGCAGUGGGGAAUAUUGCACAAUGGGUGGAAGCCUGAUGCAGCAACGCCGUGUGCGGGAUGACGGCCUUCGGUUGUAAACCGCUUUCGCUCAUGACGAAGCUUUGUGUGACGGUAGUGGGUAAAGAAGCACCGGCUAACUACGUG